This 304-nucleotide long non-coding RNA is filed under the name Salvia miltiorrhiza (redroot sage). Its description in RNAcentral is "long non-coding RNA (SMIL_LNC013769)". The record is from RNAcentral. Lineage: Eukaryota; Viridiplantae; Streptophyta; Magnoliopsida; Lamiales; Lamiaceae.
CAGGAAUCCGGUGACACUUCAAAGAAGGAAUAGCAGAGCCUUCUAUAUCAAACAGAGUGUGUAACUUCCUUCCGAAGCGAAGUUCACACCCACAGUCACCAAUCAAGAAACCACGAACAGGAAUCCGGCGACACUUCUAGAAGGAAUAGCAGAGCCUUCCAAGAAAAACGGUGUGAAAACUUCCUUACGAUUGAAAGACUUGCAGCAGGGAUAAAAAGGAGUGGAGGUCAUUGGGAAGGAGGGAUGAGCAUUGAAGUCGGAGGUGGGGAUCGAGGAGACGGGCGGCGGAAAAAGAUGAAGCGGC